AUUCAGCUGACAAGCGCCAAAUAGGACGAAGGGCGCGUCCUGAAU
Molecule: non-coding RNA, 45 nt
Organism: Schistosoma curassoni
Lineage: Eukaryota; Metazoa; Platyhelminthes; Trematoda; Strigeidida; Schistosomatidae
Source: Rfam